RNAcentral lists this long non-coding RNA (219 nucleotides) under Elaeis guineensis (African oil palm). RNAcentral's name for it is "long non-coding RNA (EGUI_LNC020273)". The record is from RNAcentral. Lineage: Eukaryota; Viridiplantae; Streptophyta; Magnoliopsida; Arecales; Arecaceae.
CAUCCAUGGGUAGGUUCAUAACCAAUUGUUUCUCUAAACAACUUCUAGCAUUGGGUUUUGCCCCAGACUUCCCUUCAGCAGGCGUGUAGCACCUCCACUGAAAAUCUUGGUUAGAUCCAACCAUUAACAUGACAUAUCAAGUGCAUCCAACAAAUAGAUGUCUAGGCCCGAGUGUGGCUCGACCAACCUAAGUAUUGAUUUGAAGGUAUAUCAUGAUGG